UACGGAAUAGCUCUGGGAAACUGGAAUUAAUACCGUAUACGCCCUACGGGGGAAAGAUUUUAUCGGGGAAGGAUUGGCCCGCGUUGGAUUAGCUAGUUGGUGGGGUAAAGGCCUACCAAGGCGACGAUCCAUAGCUGGUCUGAGAGGAUGAUCAGCCACAUUGGGACUGAGACACGGCCCAAACUCCUACGGGAGGCAGCAGUGGGGAAUAUUGGACAAUGGGCGCAAGCCUGAUCCAGCCAUGCCGCGUGAGUGAUGAAGGCCUUAGGGUUGUAAAGCUCUUUCACCGAUGAAGAUCAUGACGGUAGUCGGAGAAGAAGCCCCGGCUAACUUCGUGCA
RNAcentral lists this ribosomal RNA (339 nucleotides) under Rhizobiaceae bacterium. RNAcentral describes it as "bacterial SSU rRNA". It matches the Rfam family "Bacterial small subunit ribosomal RNA", at positions 137 to 509 of the family's 1533-position model. The record is from RNAcentral. Lineage: Bacteria; Pseudomonadati; Pseudomonadota; Alphaproteobacteria; Hyphomicrobiales; Rhizobiaceae.